UCAGGAUGAACGCUGGCGGCGUGCCUAAUACAUGCAAGUGAAACGGGUAUCUUCGGAUACCAGUCGCGGACGGGUGAGUAAUACAUAGGCAACCUGCCUUUAUGAGGGGGAUAACCGAGGGAAACUUUGGCUAAUACCGCAUGAAGACUCUAAGGCAUCUUAGAGGGAUAAAAGUUGGGAAACAACGCAUGAAGAUGGGCUUAUGGCGCAUUAGCUAGUUGGUGAGAUAGAAGCCCACCAAGGUAAUGAUGCGUAGCCGACCUGAGAGGGUGAACGGCCACAUUGGGACUGAGACACGGCCCAAACUCCUACGGGAGGCAGCAGUAGGGAAUUUUCGGCAAUGGGGGGAACCCUGACCGAGCAACGCCGCGUGAAGGAAGAAGGUUUUCGGAUUGUAAACUUCUGUUAUAAGGGAAGAACGGAUUGGAUAGGGAAUGAUCUGAUAGUGACGGUACCUUAUUAGAAAGCCACGGCUAACUACGUGCCAGCCGCCGC
This 495-nucleotide ribosomal RNA is filed under the name uncultured bacterium. RNAcentral describes it as "bacterial SSU rRNA". It matches the Rfam family "Bacterial small subunit ribosomal RNA", at positions 24 to 518 of the family's 1533-position model. The record is from RNAcentral.